AUUGAACGCUGGCGGCAUGCUUUACACAUGCAAGUCGAACGGCAGCGCGGGCUUCGGCCUGGCGGCGAGUGGCGAACGGGUGAGUAAUGCAUCGGAACGUGCCCAGUAGUGGGGGAUAGCCCGGCGAAAGCCGGAUUAAUACCGCAUACGACCUGAGGGUGAAAGCGGGGGACCGAAAGGCCUCGUGCUAUUGGAGCGGCCGCUGUCGGAUUAGCUAGUUGGUGGGGUAAAGGCUUACCAAGGCGACGACCCGUAGCUGGUCUGAGAGGACGACCAGCCACACUGGGACUGAGACCCGGCCCAGACUCCUACGGGAGGCAGCAGUGGGGAAUUUUGGACAAUGGGGGCAACCCUGAUCCAGCCAUGCCGCGUGCGGGAAGAAGGCCUUCGGGUUGUAAACCGCUUUUGUUCGGGAAGAAAUCCUCUGGGCUAAUACCCCGGGGGGAUGACGGUACCGGAAGAAUAAGCACCGGCUAACUACGUG
Molecule: ribosomal RNA, 484 nt
Filed under: uncultured bacterium
Lineage: Bacteria
Description: partial 16S ribosomal RNA
Rfam family: Bacterial small subunit ribosomal RNA
Source: RNAcentral